UUGGCCAAAAGUCUGUAUUUU
This 21-nucleotide microRNA is filed under the name Bos taurus (domestic cattle). Its description in RNAcentral is "bta-miR-2285dm". Lineage: Eukaryota; Metazoa; Chordata; Mammalia; Artiodactyla; Bovidae. The record is from miRBase by way of RNAcentral.